CCUUGGGGGAGUAGUCUCCGACGAGCGCCCCGCUCGUCCGGCAUGCGUCAACAUACUUGGUCCGCAGACCAUGGCGCAUGCGACCGGCCAGGGCGUAGCCCUACGCCCGGCCCCGGUU
This 118-nucleotide small RNA is filed under the name Pseudomonas sp. RNAcentral's name for it is "Manganese sequence". It matches the Rfam family "Manganese Mn2+ riboswitch aptamer (yybP-ykoY)". Rfam says of the family: This RNA was originally discovered in E. coli during a large scale screen and was named SraF. The family was later found to exist upstream of related families of protein genes in many bacteria, including the the yybP and ykoK genes in B. subtilis. The record is from RNAcentral. Lineage: Bacteria; Pseudomonadati; Pseudomonadota; Gammaproteobacteria; Pseudomonadales; Pseudomonadaceae.